This 2218-nucleotide long non-coding RNA is filed under the name Homo sapiens (human). Its description in RNAcentral is "HSALNT0316277". The record is from RNAcentral. Lineage: Eukaryota; Metazoa; Chordata; Mammalia; Primates; Hominidae.
UCUCCCUCCCGCAAGCACACAGAUCCUCUCUUCUCUCCAUGUAGUCACUACUUGGGGAAGGGGAAUGGGUGGUAUCAGCAAUUCAAGACUGAUUUCUUUUCCAUCUUCAGCGCCCCUUUCCUUGAUAUGAUGUUAAAACCAGAACAAGAAACAGAUCGAGGAAGAGGCAGAGUAACAACAGCCGGGAAGAAGAUACAGUUUUGUCAUUUUGUAGUGAGACUGUGCCCUAUACAUGAACCUAUUUGCCAGACCCAUCAAGUGAAUUCCGUGAUUCUUAUGAAAAAUGCCAUUAGACCUGUGAGAGGGGCUGUGACAGUGGAACCCGAAUGAAGACAGGAAAAGUCUGUAGAGGACUGAUGGUUAUGUUCACCAUUCAAAUUGCAAGAAAACCAAUAAGAAGUCAGUAAAGUGCAUUCAAAGAGAAAGGUGGGACUCGUGAAGGGGCCAAGGGAAAAGAGCUUCAUUAGCAUAUUUGUCAAGCAGAUGUGAAAUGAGGCAGAAAACUACUAGAACAAUUGGAGAAAUCUAGAAUAUGAAGUUCCAGCACAAACUUAGAUGGCUUCUAACUAUGUGAAGGUUUGAACAGCAGCUUCUGACAUAGAAAAUAACCACAGCAAAAAGAAGCACUAACAAGUGACAGAUGUGGUUGACUCAUCUCCUUCUCCCUUCGACUCUCUAAUGAGCAAUUAAAUAGCCUGAAACAGAACAAUCAAGAGGUCUGGCAAAUCCACACACUAGAUGACUGCCUUUUCACUUAACUGUGUCCUCAUAUGGAAGAGAGGAGAAAAGAGGAGAGGAGGGGAGAGGCAAGUUCUCUUGUGUUUCUUCUUACAAAGCACAAAUGCCAUUAUGAGGGCCCCACCCUCAGGACCUCAUCUAAUCCUAAUUUCCUCCCAAAAUUAAAUCUCAAAUGUCAUCACAUUGUGGUUAGGAGUCAACACAUAAUUGGGGGUCAUGGUGGGGCAGCAAUACUAAACUGAUACACAAAGGAUCCCCGUACUUCAUCAAAAUAUCAAUGUUGUCCAUGACACACAAAGAACCCAGCUGUAGUUUAAUUCAGCAUCACAGUCCCAACAUGUUUUAAAACAUGUUCCAGCUUUUGGUCCCAGGAUUAUUCAACCUAGCUCAUAAAAGAAAACAAUAUUGCAUUUCUAAGUAUUGGCUCCUAGAAUUGGCAAGUUUAGUCAAGAAAAGCUGGAAUGCCGUUAAAACAACACCCUGUCAUCUUUCAAUCAGUCCUUAGCUGAAGUUAAAAUCCCACUCAUUCUGCAUGAUCCAGCCUCUGUAGCAUAGAGUGAGUAGCCCCUUAACAAGAACCAAAAUGGAGGGUACGGAUGAGGCUCAGAUCGUCACCACCUGGAGAAUAGAGACAGUGACUGAGUCACCAGGAAAUCUGUCCCCUGCUCAUCCCAGAAUCCCCGAGCUUUGACUUUUUAAGAGAACAUGUGACAGAUAAUGCCAUCUGAGAAGCUUAGGCAACUCAGUCAUCAAUGUGUCCUCGAGAAGAGCAUAUCCCCAAAUUGGAAAAUAAUCCUUCAGGGCAUCUGAACAUAACCACAUUUGGCUUACUUUGUGAAGCAGUUGUCUGAAUAGAAUAAGACUGGCUUGGAACGAGAUUCACAGAGCAACCAAAUAAAGAUGAUUGAGUGAAUGGCUAAAGAAAUAAAUAUGUUCGAAUCUGUACCCAUCUCAUGUCUUUCCUGAUGAUUGCCUCCUUUACUGUAUGUUUUCCACUGAGAUGAAGAUUUUGGUCAUUUCCUCAUUCAUGUUCCUGCUUUUCAAAACCCAAGCAAGAAAGGAAACUUCUACAGUGACUUUCUCAUUAUGAAAUCUUAGCAUUCACUAGUCGGCCAUAAUGGAAAACCAGCCAAAUGGACACAUAUACACUGGUCUGUACCCGCAGAGAAAGAAAUGCAAAUCUCUGUGAUCAGAAAACUAUCCUAUCUUGUACAUUGUUAAAAGUCUGCCUCCAAAAAGUUUACUUCUGGAAUACUGUAAUUGAAUAGAAUCAGGGAUCCUACCUGUGUCCUUCAACUUUCACAUCUUGUCUACUCAAGUAAGGGUUGAAUUUGCAUGACUAUAUCUAAGGUUCGAGGGCUUACCUGUUGGCAGUAGACCCAGUAGUCUAUGAAUGGAAAUGGGCAAACCUGUGACCUCCCAAAACUUUAAUAUGAAAGUUUUGUUUGUGUAUACUCAUGGCAUUAUUCUUUUAAUAAAG